AUUGAACGCUGGCGGAAUGCUUUACACAUGCAAGUCGAACGGUAGCACGGACUUCGGUCUGGUGGCGAGUGGCGAACGGGUGAGUAAUACAUCGGAACGUGCCCAGUCGUGGGGGAUAACGUAGCGAAAGCUACGCUAAUACCGCAUACGAUCUAAGGAUGAAAGCGGGGGAUCGCAAGACCUCGCGCGAUUGGAGCGGCGGAUGGCAGAUUAGGUAGUUGGUAGGGUAAAGGCCUACCAAGCCGACGAUCUGUCGCUGGUCGUAGAGGAUGAUCAGCCACACUGGGACUGGGACACGGCCAAGCCUCCGACGGGAGGAAGCAGUGGGGAAUUUUGGACAAUGGGCGCAAGCCUGAUCCAGCCAUUCCGCGUGCAGGAUGAAGGCCUUCGGGUUGUAAACUGCUUUUGUACAGAACGAAAAGGCUCUGGUUAAUACCCGGGGCUCAUGACGGUACUGUAAGAAUAAGCACCGGCUAACUACGUGCCAGCCGCCGCAGUAA
Molecule: ribosomal RNA, 500 nt
Filed under: uncultured bacterium
Lineage: Bacteria
Description: partial 16S ribosomal RNA
Rfam family: Bacterial small subunit ribosomal RNA
Source: RNAcentral